This 220-nucleotide unclassified non-coding RNA is filed under the name Hevea brasiliensis (rubber tree). Lineage: Eukaryota; Viridiplantae; Streptophyta; Magnoliopsida; Malpighiales; Euphorbiaceae. The record is from RNAcentral.
UCUGCAAGCGUGUCUAGUGCUGCAUCAAUGACUUCUGCUGGGUGUCAGUAUUUUAUUGAGGGGCUUACUGAGGAUGCUCGUUCGGAUUACAGAAAUUUAUCAGCUGCAGUGGUGAGAGGCGAGCAUGACACCUGCUUGCUUUAUGCUGAACAAUUGAAACAAAGAUGUGUUGAUCAUUUCAAAGAAGGUAGUAUUGGUAUGGAACAAUUAGCUGCUGUUG